UACAGAGGGGGCAAGCGUUGUUCGGAAUUACUGGGCGUAAAGGGCGCGUAGGCGGCCUGUUAAGUCGAACGUGAAAUCCCCGGGCUCAACCCGGGAACUGCGUCCGAUACUGGCAGGCUUGAAUUCGGGAGAGGGAUGUGGAAUUCCAGGUGUAGCGGUGAAAUGCGUAGAUAUCUGGAGGAACACCGGUGGCGAAGGCGGCGUUCUGGACUGUUACUGACACUGAGGAACGAAAGCCAGGGGAGCAAACGGG
Molecule: ribosomal RNA, 253 nt
Filed under: uncultured bacterium
Lineage: Bacteria
Description: partial 16S ribosomal RNA
Rfam family: Bacterial small subunit ribosomal RNA
Source: RNAcentral